RNAcentral lists this ribosomal RNA (404 nucleotides) under Fusobacteriota bacterium. RNAcentral's name for it is "Fusobacteria bacterium partial 16S ribosomal RNA". It matches the Rfam family "Bacterial small subunit ribosomal RNA", at positions 355 to 776 of the family's 1533-position model. Lineage: Bacteria; Fusobacteriati; Fusobacteriota. The record is from RNAcentral.
UGGGGAAUAUUGCACAAUGGAGGGAACUCUGAUGCAGCGACGCCGCGUGAGUGAUGAAGGAUUACGUUUCGUAAAACCCUGUUCUAUGGGAAGAAAAGGACUGUACCAUAGGAGAAAGCUCCGGCUAAAUACGUGCCAGCAGCCGCGGUAAUACGUAUGGAGCGAGCGUUGUCCGGAAUUAUUGGGCGUAAAGGGUGCGCAGGCGGCUUUACAAGUUGGAUGUGAAAUAUUGUGGCUCAACCACAAACGUGCAUCCAAAACUGCAAAGCUUGAGUUAAGGAGAGGUAAGUGGAAUUCCUGGUGUAGCGGUGGAAUGCGUAGAUAUCAGGAGGAAUACCGGUGGCGAAGGCGACUUACUGGACUUAAACUGACGCUCAGGCACGAAAGCGUGGGGAGCAAACAGG